Malaclemys terrapin pileata is the source of this 271-nucleotide long non-coding RNA. RefSeq lists it as uncharacterized. The transcript is spliced from 3 exons. The record is from RefSeq and is a predicted model, not a curated record. NCBI's taxonomy places the organism in Eukaryota, Metazoa, Chordata, Testudines, Emydidae.
AUUGAACUCACCAUCAGCCUCAACAGAGACGAUCUGGAGGAGGAAACAGACAGAUCCCAUGUACUGGAUAAAGGAGUGGUAGUAGAAGUGCCAAAAAACAACCCAAAUCUUGCAAUUCCCAGCAUUGUCUGAUGUAUUCCACUGUUUGGCUGGCAGGCUAAAGAGCCCAUCACCAUAAUACUCUGUCAGGAGAAAGGCCCUGCAGCUGCACCUGCUCAGUCUCCUGAUGGCCUAGCAAGUCAACUAAGCUCCCUGAUGGACUGCUCUGCUU